GGCAACCUGCCGUCUAAGAUGGGGACAACAGGUCCGAAAGGACUGCUAAUACCGAAUCGUUUGUGAGGUUUUCCGCAUGGGGAGACGUCAUUGAAGAUGGCCUCUACUUGUAAGCUAUCACGUUAGAGAUGGGCCUGCGUCUGAUUAGCUGGUUGGUGGGGUAACGGCCCACCAAGGCGACGAUCAGUUAGCCGGUCUGAGAGGAUGAACGGCCACAUUGGGACUGAGACACGGCCCAGACUCCUACGGGAGGCAGCAGUGGGGAAUCUUCCGCAAUGGGCGAAAGCCUGACGGAGCAACGCCGCGUGAGUGAAGAAGGUCUUCGGAUCGUAAAGCUCUGUCGAAGGGGACGAACGUGGGUUCUAUCAACAACGGAACCUAAUGACGGUACCUUUCAAGAAAGCCACGGCUAACUACGUGCCAGCCGCCGC
Molecule: ribosomal RNA, 431 nt
Filed under: uncultured bacterium
Lineage: Bacteria
Description: bacterial SSU rRNA
Rfam family: Bacterial small subunit ribosomal RNA
Source: RNAcentral